AUGAAAAUACGUAAUAAUUAACGUUUUAUAAUUUUUUUUCGAAAUUUCUGUCAUUUUUUUAUGCGGCACGUGCUGCCCAAAUGGACAACGGCGUCGCUUUGCUAAUGAAAAUAAUCUGUCAUCAAAGCCAAUGAUAAAGCCACCCCCAAUAUGUGCGAACAGGUGUGCCAGAGUACCCCUGCCCGCCGCGGUUCCAGCCACGUACAACAUCAAUUACUGUGUCAAGCUCGCCCCCUUGAUGGAUAUGUUAACGUUGACUUCAAAACUAUUAACUCAAUAUAAGAGUAAAUUGUCAGGGCUAGAGAAAGGGUUGCGUUUGCAGGAAAUUGCAUUUGUGCGGCCAAAUCAGAUAACAUUCAGCCACGAAAUGCUGACGUCCUGGGCCAGGAUAUAGCAUUAAAAGCGCAUCAGGUUGGCCGAAAGGCGCAUCAGCAGCGGAAACUGUUGCUGUAAUUACAUUGGACGAACAAUCAAGUAGCAAAAAAAAUAUCCAUCAAAUAUACGAAACUUGAGCAUGGUCUAUAUAACACUGAAUGGAAUUACUUUAACUUCGUGGAAGUCCCUUGACUUUUUUAAAUAUGAUUGUGUUCUUUGAAUUAAUAUUCUCAUAAGUUCCAUUAUACUUAAUCAAUAAUUUAUUAAACAAAAUAAAAAUAUAGCUAAUAUACUCUGUAAUACACUCACCUGAA
Molecule: non-coding RNA, 689 nt
Organism: Drosophila virilis
Lineage: Eukaryota; Metazoa; Arthropoda; Insecta; Diptera; Drosophilidae
Source: RefSeq, a predicted model, not a curated record